RNAcentral lists this long non-coding RNA (335 nucleotides) under Homo sapiens (human). Its description in RNAcentral is "non-protein coding lnc-OCLN-3:1". The record is from RNAcentral. Lineage: Eukaryota; Metazoa; Chordata; Mammalia; Primates; Hominidae.
UUCCAGCGGUGACGACCUACCCAGGAGAACAUGCCUCUCACAAAGGAUCUCCUUCAUCCCUCUCCAGAAUAGGGGAAGAGGAAACACAAGAAGCAGUGCCUGAUGCAGAGCCCCAAUUCCUACUUCAUGGGUGUAAAUGCCCAGGAUGGUACAAAAUCAUCACAGUCUUUAGCCAUGCACUAACAGAAAUUUUGUGUGUUGGCUGCUCCACUGUCCUCUGCCAGCCUACAGAAAGAAAAGCAAGGCUUACAGAAGGAUGUUCCUUCAGGAGGAAGCAGCAUUAAAAAGCACUCCGAAUCAAGAUGAGUGGGAAAUCAUCUCAAUAAACACUUUUU